GAUGUCAGGAAUUAUGGAACUGUCAAACAUUCUUCUUGCACUGUUGGUAUUGGUGGUGGCUGUCUGCCUGGUGCGGUGGAUGAGAUCAUCCCUUGAUGGCUGGAAUGGCUACAUGCAGAACGCCGAUGAAGGGGAGGCCUUAGCGGAGCCUGGACACCAGGUUCAGGAGACAGAGGAGGGGAGACGGGGACCCACCCGACUGGUUGUGCAGUGAAUACCAUCUGCUGAAUUUAUAUGUGGGCGUGCUUUUCUAGGACUCUCAUGCUCGAAGUUUUCCAACACAGACUCAGACAACGUUCCGGACUGAAUAAAGCGUUAAUUUAGAUUUGACUUCCAAAAAA
Long non-coding RNA from Haliotis rufescens (red abalone), 341 nucleotides. RefSeq lists it as uncharacterized. The record is from RefSeq and is a predicted model, not a curated record. Lineage: Eukaryota; Metazoa; Mollusca; Gastropoda; Lepetellida; Haliotidae. The transcript has 2 exons.